AGAGUUUGAUCCUGGCUCAGAUUGAACGCUGGCGGCAUGCCUUACACAUGCAAGUCGAACGGCAGCACGGGAGCAAUCCUGGUGGCGAGUGGCGAACGGGUGAGUAAUACAUCGGAACGUGCCCAGUAGUGGGGGAUAGCCCGGCGAAAGCCGGAUUAAUACCGCAUACGACCUACGGGUGAAAGCGGGGGAUCGCAAGACCUUGCGCUAUUGGAGCGGCCGAUGUCAGAUUAGCUAGUUGGUGGGGUAAAAGCCUACCAAGGCGACGAUCUGUAGCUGGUCUGAGAGGACGACCAGCCACACUGGGACUGAGACACGGCCCAGACUCCUACGGGAGGCAGCAGUGGGGAAUUUUGGACAAUGGGCGCAAGCCUGAUCCAGCCAUGCCGCGUGCGGGAAGAAGGCCUUCGGGUUGUAAACCGCUUUUGUCAGGGAAGAAACGGUCUGUGCUAAUACCACGGACUAAUGACGGUACCUGAAGAAUAAGCACCGGCUAACUACGUGCCAGCAGCCGCGGUA
RNAcentral lists this ribosomal RNA (519 nucleotides) under uncultured Pseudomonadota bacterium. RNAcentral's name for it is "bacterial SSU rRNA". It matches the Rfam family "Bacterial small subunit ribosomal RNA", at positions 8 to 522 of the family's 1533-position model. Lineage: Bacteria; Pseudomonadati; Pseudomonadota. The record is from RNAcentral.